GGGGGCGAAAUAGGAUCGACGUGCCUAAUAAAAAGAUUGCUUUUACU
RNAcentral lists this non-coding RNA (47 nucleotides) under Rickettsia conorii. The record is from RNAcentral. Lineage: Bacteria; Pseudomonadati; Pseudomonadota; Alphaproteobacteria; Rickettsiales; Rickettsiaceae.